AAUAGAUACCCCGGUAGUCCACGCCGUAAACGAUGGAUACUAGCUGUUGGGGGGACGACCUUCAGUGGUCUAAGCGAAAGUGAUAAGUAUCCCUAACCUGGGGAGUACUGUUCGGCAAGAAUGAAACUCAAAGGAAUUAGGACGGGGGUCCCGCGACCAAGCGGUAGGAGCGAUGUGGUUUUAAUUCGUAUGAUACGCGAGGAACCUUACCAAGGUCUUAAAUGCUAGACUGACCGUUUUGGAAACAGAACGUUUCGCAAGGACAGUUCUACAAGGUGCUGCAUGGUUGUCGUCAGCUCGGUGCCGUGAGGUGUCAGGGUUUAAGUCCUAUAACGGAGCGUCGUAACCCCUGGUUGUUAGUUGCCCAGCCGAGUUAGUCGUCGGGAACUCUAACAGACUUGCCUAGGUGCAAACUGUGGAGAAGGUGGGGAUGGACUCAAAUCAAUCGAGGCCCUUAGGCCUUAGGGGNCCUAACACGUCGUACGUACCUAA
RNAcentral lists this ribosomal RNA (492 nucleotides) under uncultured bacterium. RNAcentral describes it as "bacterial SSU rRNA". It matches the Rfam family "Bacterial small subunit ribosomal RNA", at positions 777 to 1239 of the family's 1533-position model. The record is from RNAcentral.